Molecule: microRNA, 24 nt
Filed under: Sarcophilus harrisii (Tasmanian devil)
Lineage: Eukaryota; Metazoa; Chordata; Mammalia; Dasyuromorphia; Dasyuridae
Also listed under: 1 other name
Description: Sha-Mir-1546_3p* (star (passenger))
Source: RNAcentral
UUCCACCUCUCAGAAUCCCUAUUU